GGGGAAUAUUGGGCAAUGGGCGAAAGCCUGACCCGGCGACGCCGCGUGGGUGAUGAAGGCCUUCGGGUUGUAAAGCCCUUUCGUGCGGAACGAACAGUCUCGCGACUAAUACUCGCGGGAUUUGACGGUACCGCAGGAAGAAGCACCGGCUAACUCCGUGCCAGCAGCCGCGGUAAUACGGAGGGUGCAAGCGUUGUUCGGAAUUACUGGGCGUAAAGGGCGCGCAGGCGGUUGUGCAAGUCAGUUGUGAAAUCCCCCGGCUUAACCGGGGAACUGCAUCUGAAACUGCAUGACUCGAGUACAGAAGAGGGAAACGGAAUUCCCGGUGUAGAGGUGAAAUUCGUAGAUAUCGGGAGGAACACCAGUGGCGAAGGCGGUUUCCUGGUCUGAUACUGACGCUGAGGCGCGAAAGCGUGGGGAGCAAACAG
This 428-nucleotide ribosomal RNA is filed under the name uncultured bacterium. RNAcentral's name for it is "bacterial SSU rRNA". It matches the Rfam family "Bacterial small subunit ribosomal RNA", at positions 356 to 775 of the family's 1533-position model. The record is from RNAcentral.